UACGAAGGGGGCUAGCGUUGCUCGGAAUCACUGGGCGUAAAGCGCACGUAGGCGGACUCUUAAGUCAGGGGUGAAAUCCUGGAGCUCAACUCCAGAACUGCCCUUGAUACUGGCGGUCUCGAGUCCGGGAGAGGUGAGUGGAACUGCGAGUGUAGAGGUGAAAUUCGUAGAUAUUCGCAAGAACACCAGUGGCGAAGGCGGCUCACUGGCCCGGUACUGACGCUGAGGUGCGAAAGCCAGGGGAGCAAACGGG
This 253-nucleotide ribosomal RNA is filed under the name uncultured bacterium. Its description in RNAcentral is "partial 16S ribosomal RNA". It matches the Rfam family "Bacterial small subunit ribosomal RNA", at positions 524 to 776 of the family's 1533-position model. The record is from RNAcentral.